This 253-nucleotide ribosomal RNA is filed under the name uncultured bacterium. RNAcentral's name for it is "partial 16S ribosomal RNA". It matches the Rfam family "Bacterial small subunit ribosomal RNA", at positions 524 to 776 of the family's 1533-position model. The record is from RNAcentral.
UACGGAGGGUGCAAGCGUUAUCCGGAUUCACUGGGUUUAAAGGGUGCGUAGGUGGGUUGGUAAGUCAGUGGUGAAAUCUCCGAGCUUAACUCGGAAACUGCCAUUGAUACUAUCAAUCUUGAAUCAUCUGGAGGUAAGCGGAAUAUGUCAUGUAGCGGUGAAAUGCUUAGAUAUGACAUAGAACACCAAUUGCGAAGGCAGGUUACUAAGCAACAACUGACGCUGAUGGACGAAAGCGUGGGGAGCGAACAGG